CUGGAGGUAUCAGAAGUGCGAAUGCUGACAUAAGUAACGAUAAAGCGGGUGAAAAGCCCGCUCGCCGGAAGACCAAGGGUUCCUGUCCAACGUUAAUCGGGGCAGGGUGAGUCGACCCCUAAGGCGAGGCCGAAAGGCGUAGUCGAUGGGAAACGGGUUAAUAUUCCCGUACUUGGUGUUACUGCGAAGGGGGGACGGAGAAGGCUAUGUUGGCCGGGCGACGGUUGUCCCGGUUUAAGCGUGUAGGUGUGUGUUCCAGGUAAAUCCGGUUCACUUUAACACUGAGGCGUGAUGACGAGGCACUACGGUGCUGAAGUAACAAAUGCCCUGCUUCCAGGAAAAGCCUCUAAGCAUCAGGUAACAUCAAAUCGUACCCCAAACCGACACAGGUGGUCAGGUAGAGAAUACCAAGGCGCUUGAGAGAACUCGGGUGAAGGAACUAGGCAAAAUGGUGCCGUAACUUCGGGAGAAGGCACGCUGACACGUAGGUGAAGUGAUUUACUCACGGAGCUG
RNAcentral lists this ribosomal RNA (513 nucleotides) under Salmonella enterica subsp. enterica serovar Dublin. Its description in RNAcentral is "partial 23S ribosomal RNA". It matches the Rfam family "Bacterial large subunit ribosomal RNA", at positions 1273 to 1779 of the family's 2925-position model. Lineage: Bacteria; Pseudomonadati; Pseudomonadota; Gammaproteobacteria; Enterobacterales; Enterobacteriaceae. The record is from RNAcentral.